This 78-nucleotide transfer RNA is filed under the name Planctomycetota bacterium. RNAcentral describes it as "Planctomycetes bacterium tRNA-Val". It matches the Rfam family "tRNA". Rfam says of the family: Transfer RNA (tRNA) molecules are approximately 80 nucleotides in length. Their secondary structure includes four short double-helical elements and three loops (D, anti-codon, and T loops). Lineage: Bacteria; Pseudomonadati; Planctomycetota. The record is from RNAcentral.
GGGCGAUUAGCUCAGUCUGGUUAGAGCGCCACGUUGACAACGUGGAGGUCACUGGUUCGAGUCCAGUAUCGCCCACCA